RNAcentral lists this ribosomal RNA (749 nucleotides) under uncultured Enterobacteriaceae bacterium. RNAcentral describes it as "bacterial SSU rRNA". It matches the Rfam family "Bacterial small subunit ribosomal RNA", at positions 753 to 1502 of the family's 1533-position model. The record is from RNAcentral. Lineage: Bacteria; Pseudomonadati; Pseudomonadota; Gammaproteobacteria; Enterobacterales; Enterobacteriaceae.
GCGAAAGCGUGGGGAGCAAACAGGAUUAGAUACCCUGGUAGUCCACGCUGUAAACGAUGUCGAUUUGGAGUUUGUUGCCUAGAGUGAUGGGCUCCGAAGCUAACGCGAUAAAUCGACCGCCUGGGGAGUACGGCCGCAAGGUUAAAACUCAAAUGAAUUGACGGGGGCCCGCACAAGCGGUGGAGCAUGUGGUUUAAUUCGAUGCAACGCGAAGAACCUUACCUGGUCUUGACAUCCAUAGAAUUCUGCAGAGAUGUGGGAGUGCCUUCGGGAACUAUGAGACAGGUGCUGCAUGGCUGUCGUCAGCUCGUGUUGUGAAAUGUUGGGUUAAGUCCCGCAACGAGCGCAACCCUUAUUCUUUGUUGCCAGCGAUUUGGUCGGGAACUCAAAGGAGACUGCCGUUGAUAAAGCGGAGGAAGGUGGGGACGACGUCAAGUCAUCAUGGCCCUUACGACCAGGGCUACACACGUGCUACAAUGGCGUAUACAAAGGGAAGCGAAGGUGCGAGCUGGAGCGGAUCUCAUAAAGUACGUCUAAGUUCGGAUUGGAGUCUGCAACUCGACUCCAUGAAGUCGGAAUCGCUAGUAAUCGUAGAUCAGAAUGCUACGGUGAAUACGUUCCCGGGCCUUGUACACACCGCCCGUCACACCAUGGGAGUGGGUUGCACCAGAAGUAGAUAGCUUAACCGCGAGGGGGGCGUUUACCACGGUGUGAUUCAUGACUGGGGUGAAGUCGUAACAAGGUAACCA